GAUGAACGCUGGCGGCGUGCCUAACACAUGCAAGUCGAACGAGAAGUUAACCGCUGAUUCCUUCGGGAUGAGGAGGUUAGCAGAAAGUGGCGAACGGGUGAGUAACGCGUGGGUAAUCUACCCUGUAAGUGGGGGAUAACCCUCCGAAAGGAGGGCUAAUACCGCAUAAUAUCUUCACUUCUAAAAGAAGAGAAGAUUAAAGAUGGCCUCUGUCUUAAGCUAUCACUUCAGGAUGGGCCUGCGUCCUAUUAGUUAGUUGGUGGGGUAAUGGCCUACCAAGACCACAAUGGGUAGCCGGUCUGAGAGGAUGUACGGCCACACUGGGACUGAGAUACGGCCCAGACUCCUACGGGAGGCAGCAGUGGGGAAUAUUGCGCAAUGGGGGAAACCCUGACGCAGCGACGCCGCGUGGAUGAUGAAGGCCUUUGGGUUGUAAAAUCCUGUUUUGGGGGAAGAAACCUUAAGGGUCCAAUAAACCC
RNAcentral lists this ribosomal RNA (479 nucleotides) under uncultured bacterium. Its description in RNAcentral is "bacterial SSU rRNA". It matches the Rfam family "Bacterial small subunit ribosomal RNA", at positions 28 to 471 of the family's 1533-position model. The record is from RNAcentral.